CAGUCCCGCGGUAAUACAGAGGGUGCGAGCGUUAAUCGGAUUUACUGGGCGUAAAGCGUGCGUAGGCGGCUUUUUAAGUCGGAUGUGAAAUCCCUGAGCUUAACUUAGGAAUUGCAUUCGAUACUGGGAAGCUAGAGUAUGGGAGAGGAUGGUAGAAUUCCAGGUGUAGCGGUGAAAUGCGUAGAGAUCUGGAGGAAUACCGAUGGCGAAGGCAGCCAUCUGGCCUAAUACUGACGCUGAGGUACGAAAGCAUGGGGAGCAAACAGGAUUAGAUACCCCCGUAGUCCCUGUCUCUUAUACC
This 301-nucleotide ribosomal RNA is filed under the name uncultured bacterium. Its description in RNAcentral is "partial 16S ribosomal RNA". It matches the Rfam family "Bacterial small subunit ribosomal RNA", at positions 512 to 808 of the family's 1533-position model. The record is from RNAcentral.